CAACGUAUAUGUGUGGUAUUUAGUCAUGGAAAGAAGUGAAUUAUGGCGUCAAUUAGAGUUUUUAAAGCUACAAUCAUUAUGUCAUGGAUAAUCACAGGAUUUUAAUUAUGUUCUUUAUUCACAUAAAAGAUCAGGAGUAUAAAAGAAUCUAGUGGUCAAGGUUGGUUUAUUGAAUAUGAUAAGAAGGCUUGAUGUUGUUGAUUUACCAAUGAAUAGGAGAAGGAUUACAUGGUGUACU
This 238-nucleotide long non-coding RNA is filed under the name Carica papaya (papaya). RNAcentral describes it as "long non-coding RNA (CPAP_LNC010854)". Lineage: Eukaryota; Viridiplantae; Streptophyta; Magnoliopsida; Brassicales; Caricaceae. The record is from RNAcentral.